Mauremys mutica (yellowpond turtle) is the source of this 351-nucleotide long non-coding RNA. RefSeq lists it as uncharacterized. Lineage: Eukaryota; Metazoa; Chordata; Testudines; Geoemydidae. The record is from RefSeq and is a predicted model, not a curated record. The transcript has 3 exons.
GUAGGAGCAUUGCUAGUAGAUCGAGGGACAUGAUCAUUCCCCUCUAUUCGACAUUGUCAAGAGGUAGGAGAUCACAGGCUUGGAUUGGCAGUGGAGAAGGAAAGGUCAUGGCUGGUAUUUGAUAUGUGAAGUCAUGGACCUAGAGCUGGGGGAAAGGGGAACACAAGGCAAAAUGGAUGGAGAAAGGAAAGAUAACAGUGGACCAGCUGUAGGAAAAAGAAGAGGAAGGUCUUAAUGCCUAGGAAAGGCUCAUUCACCUCUGGUCAUGGAGAAAGUGUGAAUGUCCAGGACAGGACAAGAUCAUUGGCAUAGCUCUCUGGAAGCUCACAUUGUAAUAAACAGGACUGAAGA